Small nuclear RNA from Dicentrarchus labrax (European seabass), 141 nucleotides. Its record names the gene U4. It matches the Rfam family "U4 spliceosomal RNA". From Rfam's summary of the family: U4 small nuclear RNA (U4 snRNA) is a component of the major U2-dependent spliceosome. NCBI's taxonomy places the organism in Eukaryota, Metazoa, Chordata, Actinopteri, Moronidae. The record is from Ensembl.
AGCUUUGCGCAGUGGCAGUAUCGUAGCCUAUGAGGUUUAUCCGAGGCGUGAUUAUUGCUGGUUGAAAACUUUACCCAAUACCCCGCCUAGACGACUUGAAAUAUAGUCGGCGACGGCAAUUUUUGACGGUCUCUAAGGAGA